This 545-nucleotide long non-coding RNA is filed under the name Mytilus galloprovincialis (Mediterranean mussel). Lineage: Eukaryota; Metazoa; Mollusca; Bivalvia; Mytilida; Mytilidae. The record is from RNAcentral.
AAUAAUUUGACUUUCACGUGUCACGCUUAGACCCCAAUGAGACCCACUGUUUGCUGUUGUAGUGAUUAUGAUUAUGACUACUUUACCCCUAUUGUUGACAUUUUUACCUAUUUUGUCUGUUUGUUUUGUUCACAUAUCGUUGUUAAUAUAGUCGAAUUUUAUACGUCUGUCAUACAAGGGAGAGGUUCAACUAUAUCUAUAAAACAAGGUUUAAUCUACCAUUUUCUACAUAAGGCAAUGCUUUUAUAUUUCCUCCUAUACAUUUCUAGGAAUGUGAUUGGUUAAAAGCGCCCUCGUGGAGACCAUGUAUAUUUCAUAUUGGGUUAGUAGGGAGGCGGGGCUUAUCGCAUUCACGGUAAGUAGUGGUGUUGCGUCCCUUAAAAUUCCAUAUAAGGUAGUAGGGAGGCGGGGCUUAUUUCAUACACGGUUGGUAGUGGUGUUACGUCCCUUAAAAUUCCAUAUAAGGUAGUAUGGAGACGGGGCUUAUUUCAUACACGGUAAGUAGUGGUGUUACGUGCCUUAAAAUUCCAUAUAAGGUAGUAGGG